UACUAGCGGUCCAAGUCGCAGCCACAUUUAUUGGGUCUAAAACAUCCGUAGCUUGCUUAAUAAGUUUCUUGUGAAAUCCUAUGUCUUAAACAUAGGGCGCGCAAGAAGUACUGUUGAGCUAGAGACUGGAAGGCGUAGGAAGUACGCUCAAAGUAGUGGUAAAAUACGUUAAUCUUGAGCGGACUCACAAUAGCGAAGGCAUCCUACGAGGACAGUUCUGACAGUGAGGGAUGAAGGCUAGGGUCGCGAAAGG
Molecule: ribosomal RNA, 253 nt
Filed under: uncultured archaeon
Lineage: Archaea
Description: partial 16S ribosomal RNA
Rfam family: Archaeal small subunit ribosomal RNA
Source: RNAcentral